Oreochromis aureus is the source of this 1234-nucleotide long non-coding RNA. RefSeq lists it as uncharacterized. The record is from RefSeq and is a predicted model, not a curated record. The transcript has 3 exons. NCBI's taxonomy places the organism in Eukaryota, Metazoa, Chordata, Actinopteri, Cichliformes, Cichlidae.
CUUAUAUGGUGACUGACUGUGACAGGAGACAGACGGUAGCAGAACAUCACACCGACAGCUCGUUAGGUUGUUACUGUCACUUUAAACCUGCUCAUCAAUAACACGAUCAGGACCUCAUCAAUGAGGACGACCCGAUGAGAUAAAUCCUCUACUCCGUGUAAACACUGAACUUCUUUAUCGAUUAAUUUGAUAAAAGUAAUUGUUUUGGUUUGUCAAAUUUCAGAACAGAGGACAUGAAGUACAGUUUGAUGACAGAGAGCUCAGAAUCUGUUUCUCAGACAAGACAAACAAACAAAAAAAAAAAGCACGACUUCCUGUCCUUUUGUGACGGAAACGGGUGAAAUAUGCAUCUGAACCGACUCUUUGGCGUUUGCUCGUACUUGCAGGCCCGUCUGUGGCUCUGCGUCAGAUAACGAGCUGCAACCUUCAGUCAACAUUUAAUCUGCCGCUGAGGACGAGACUGCAGGCACACCCAGAUAGAAACCUCCCAGAUGAGCACAAUUUAAAACUCAAAGCAUUUUAUCUACAGCAGUCACGGUUUUCUGGGUCAGCCGCAGAAAUCACAAACUAAACAGACAGCAUUCCCGAGGAGGCGUGUUUCAGGUAUGUCCUCUGCAGCUGGAGGUCAGCGCUACAUGAUGUACAGAUGUGGUCAGCUGUCACAUCUUAAAGGCCAAAAUAUGUGGUUAUUGUAGGAGUCGACUGAAAGCAGCAUUCACACCAAGAGAUCCUCUCAGGAGAGGAACCUGGAUGCCAUCGAUGGCCAGCAGAAAAACUACAGCAGACAUAACAGUAGUGCAGCUUGAUGAGUGAGCAAAUGCACCUGCGCAGGUAGUAAACACUGACAAGUCCCUCGGCUGAUGUUAUUUAGUGACAUCACUGUGAAUGUUGCUAUAAAAUCUUUGUAUGAUUCAGCAACAGUGUCAUCAUGCUUACAGCUGCUUACAGGAAGCUGAGCAGACAGUGGGCGGAGUCAUGUAUAGCGAGGUACCAACCAGGUCAUGAAGGUUAAUAAACAAUGAGCCCAUCAGCUGUCAGUCUGAAGCGGAAGGAGCGAUGAGAUGACGUCAGAACGUAAAGGGAAACGCCUAAACGUAAGGACGGCGGACGGAAGUAGACGGACGGAAACGGAGACGUCAGAAUAAAAUGUACUUUGAUCGACAGCAUGGUGCGACUCACCUGUGAGGACAUCUUUUGUCCGUACCACUCCACCAGCGUCUUCCCUGGCGGUGAC